RNAcentral lists this ribosomal RNA (301 nucleotides) under uncultured bacterium. RNAcentral's name for it is "partial 16S ribosomal RNA". It matches the Rfam family "Bacterial small subunit ribosomal RNA", at positions 509 to 807 of the family's 1533-position model. The record is from RNAcentral.
CAGCAGCCGCGGGAAUACGAAGGGGGCUAGCGUUGUUCGGAAUCACUGGGCGUAAAGAGCACGUAGGCGGAUCUUUAAGUCAGGGGUGAAAUCCCGAGGCUCAACCUCGGAACUGCCUUUGAUACUGGGGAUCUCGAGUCCGGGAGAGGUGAGUGGAACUGCGAGUGUAGAGGUGAAAUUCGUAGAUAUUCGCAAGAACACCAGUGGCGAAGGCGGCUCACUGGCCCGGAACUGACGCUGAGGUGCGAAAGCGUGGGGAGCAAACAGGAUUAGAUACCCCGGUAGUCCCUGUCUCUUAUAC